RNAcentral lists this ribosomal RNA (253 nucleotides) under uncultured bacterium. RNAcentral describes it as "partial 16S ribosomal RNA". It matches the Rfam family "Bacterial small subunit ribosomal RNA", at positions 524 to 776 of the family's 1533-position model. The record is from RNAcentral.
UACGGAGGGGGCUAGCGUUGUUCGGAAUUACUGGGCGUAAAGCGUACGUAGGCGGCUUUGUAAGUUAGAGGUGAAAGCCCGGGGCUCAACUCCGGAAUUGCCUUUAAGACUGCAUCGCUUGAAUCAUGGAGAGGUGAGUGGAAUUCCGAGUGUAGAGGUGAAAUUCGUAGAUAUUCGGAAGAACACCAGUGGCGAAGGCGACUCGCUGGACAUGUAUUGACGCUGAGGUACGAAAGCGUGGGGAGCAAACAGG